This 409-nucleotide ribosomal RNA is filed under the name uncultured bacterium. RNAcentral describes it as "bacterial SSU rRNA". It matches the Rfam family "Bacterial small subunit ribosomal RNA", at positions 29 to 416 of the family's 1533-position model. The record is from RNAcentral.
AACGAACGCUGGCGGCGUGCCUGAGACAUGCAAGUCGUGGGAGAAAGUCGGAGCAAUCCGGCUAGUAAACCGGCGCACGGGUGAGUAACACGUGGACAACCUGCCUUGGAGUUCGGGAUAACCCGUCGAAAGACGGACUAAUACCGGAUAUGACCACGGGGGAGUUCGCUCUCUGAGGUAAAAGAUGGCCUCUGCUCCUGCAAGCUAUCUCUUCGAGAGGGGUCCNCGUCCAUCAGCUAGUUGGUGAGGUAACGGCUCACCAAGGCUAAGACGGGUAGCUGGUCUGGAGAGGAUGGUCAGCCACACUGGGACUGAGACACGGCCCAGAGUCCUACGGGAUGCAGCAGUCAGGAAUAUUGCGCAAUGGAGGAAACUCUGACGCAGCGACGCCGCGUGGGUGAUGAAGGCC